This 465-nucleotide ribosomal RNA is filed under the name uncultured bacterium. Its description in RNAcentral is "bacterial SSU rRNA". It matches the Rfam family "Bacterial small subunit ribosomal RNA", at positions 330 to 793 of the family's 1533-position model. The record is from RNAcentral.
ACCAGACUCCUACGGGAGGCAGCAGUGAGGAAUAUUGGUCAAUGGCCGAGAGGCUGAACCAGCCAAGCCGCGUGAGGGAUGAAGGUACAGAGUAUCGUAAACCUCUUUUGUCAGGGAACAAAGGCGGGGACGCGUCCCCGGAUGAGUGUACCUGAAGAAAAAGCAUCGGCUAACUCCGUGCCAGCAGCCGCGGUAAUACGGAGGAUGCGAGCGUUAUCCGGAUUUAUUGGGUUUAAAGGGUGCGCAGGCGGAGGUGCAAGUCAGCGGUCAAAUUGCGGGGCUCAACCCCGUCGUGCCGUUGAAACUGACGCCCUUGAGUGAGUGAGAAGUAAGCGGAAUGCGUGGUGUAGCGGUGAAAUGCAUAGAUAUCGCGCAGAACUCCGAUUGCGAAGGCAGCGUACCGGCGCCAGACUGACGCUGAGGCACGAAAGCGUGGGGAUCGAACAGGAUUAGAUACCCGUGUAC